Molecule: long non-coding RNA, 214 nt
Filed under: Mytilus galloprovincialis (Mediterranean mussel)
Lineage: Eukaryota; Metazoa; Mollusca; Bivalvia; Mytilida; Mytilidae
Source: RNAcentral
AUGAAAUGAGGUGAAGGUCAAAUGAACCAUGCCAGGCAUACAUGAACAGUUAACAAUCCUUCCAUACAACAAAGAAAGUUGACCUAUUGCUUAUAGUUGAAAAACAGAUCAAAACACAAAAACUUAGCACUGAGCAAUGAAUAAUGACAAUGAGGUCAAGGUCAAAUAAAACCUGUGUGCCUGACAUGUACACCAUAAAAUAUUUCGAUACACC